This 434-nucleotide ribosomal RNA is filed under the name uncultured Lachnoanaerobaculum sp. Its description in RNAcentral is "partial 16S ribosomal RNA". It matches the Rfam family "Bacterial small subunit ribosomal RNA", at positions 341 to 792 of the family's 1533-position model. Lineage: Bacteria; Bacillati; Bacillota; Clostridia; Lachnospirales; Lachnospiraceae. The record is from RNAcentral.
ACGGGAGGCAGCAGUGGGGAAUAUUGGACAAUGGGGGAAACCCUGAUCCAGCGACGCCGCGUGAGUGAAGAAGUAUUUCGGUAUGUAAAGCUCUUUAAGCAGGAAAGAAAAUGACGGUACCUGCAGAAUAAGCCCCGGCUAACUACGUGCCAGCAGCCGCGGUAAUACGUAGGGGGCAAGCGUUAUCCGGAUUUACUGGGUGUAAAGGGUGUGUAGGCGGGACUGCAAGUCAGAUGUGAAACUUAUGAGCUCAACUCAUAACCUGCAUUUGAAACUGUGGUUCUUGAGAGUCGGAGAGGUAAACGGAAUUCCUGGUGUAGCGGUGAAAUGCGUAGAUAUCAGGAGGAACACCGGUGGCGAAGGCGGUUUACUGGACGACAACUGACGCUGAGACACGAAGGCGUGGGGAGCAAACAGGAUUAGAUACCCUGGUA